UACGUAGGGUGCAAGCGUUGUCCGGAUUUAUUGGGCGUAAAGAGCUCGUAGGCGGUUUAGCAAGUCGGGUGUUAAAACUACAGGCUCAACCUGUAGAUGCCACUCGAGACUGCUAUGACUUGAGUCUGGUAGGGGAGCACGGAAUUCCUGGUGUAGCGGUGAAAUGCGCAGAUAUCAGGAGGAACACCGGUGGCGAAGGCGGUGCUCUGGGCCAGUACUGACGCUGAGGAGCGAAAGCGUGGGUAGCAAACAGG
This 254-nucleotide ribosomal RNA is filed under the name uncultured bacterium. RNAcentral's name for it is "partial 16S ribosomal RNA". It matches the Rfam family "Bacterial small subunit ribosomal RNA", at positions 524 to 776 of the family's 1533-position model. The record is from RNAcentral.